Molecule: ribosomal RNA, 253 nt
Filed under: uncultured bacterium
Lineage: Bacteria
Description: partial 16S ribosomal RNA
Rfam family: Bacterial small subunit ribosomal RNA
Source: RNAcentral
GACGUAGGGCGCGAGCGUUGUCCGGAUUUAUUGGGCGUAAAGAGCUCGUAGGCGGCUUGUUGCGUCGACUGUGAAAACCCGCGGCUUAACUGCGGGCUUGCAGUUGAUACGGGCAGGCUAGAGUUCGGUAGGGGAGAGUGGAAUUCCUGGUGUAGCGGUGAAAUGCGCAGAUAUCAGGAGGAACACCGGUGGCGAAGGCGGGUCUCUGGGCCGAUACUGACGCUGAGGAGCGAAAGCGUGGGGAGCGAACAGG